GCUUUGGUGUUGAAGCUUUGUAGGUGAAGCUUUGAGGUUGAAGCUUUGUUAGGUACCAUGAAUUGAUUUUGCUUCACACUAUCUUGAUCAAGAUAUUGUGAAGCUUUUGUAGGUUAAGCUUUUGUGUUGAAGCUUUGUAGGUGAAGCUUUUGUGGGUGAAACUUUUGUGGUAGGUUAAGCUUUUGUUGGUGAAGCUUUUGUGGGUGAAGCUUUUGUGGUGGGUGAAGCUUUUGGUGGUGAAGCUUUUAUGGGUGAAGCUUUUGUGGCCAAGUUUUUGUGGGUGAAGUUUUUGUGGGUGAAGCUUUUGUAGGUUAAGCUUUUGUAGGUUAAGCUUUUGUGGGUCAAGCUUUUUUGGGUUAAGCUUUUGUAGGUUAAGC
Molecule: long non-coding RNA, 377 nt
Filed under: Malus domestica (apple)
Lineage: Eukaryota; Viridiplantae; Streptophyta; Magnoliopsida; Rosales; Rosaceae
Description: long non-coding RNA (MDOM_LNC014859)
Source: RNAcentral